UUUUAGACUAGAGCACUAGCUGGGACGUAAGUGUCCAUAACAUACGUCAUUUGGUCGUUUGGCAUGGUAGACGACAGGUCGUCAACGCACCGUUAGCGUUACGCCAGUGCUACAUGAGCAUCCGCAAGUCUACAGGGCGUCAUACUCGUUGACAUUACCUACGACACCUCGUUAUAAGGCGGACAUACGGGGAACCGUUCGCACCGGUAAACGGCCGGUCACUACUUCCGGGCUUGAUACAGCUCAGGUAUCGCCGUCUUUUUCCGGGCAUAGUCUGCUCGGGUAUCUACAGACUACUUCUGGGCUCGAUACAGUUCGGGUAUCUACAGUCUACUUCCGGGCUUGAUACAGCUCGGAUGAUCUGCACUCUACUUUCGGGCUUGGUACAGCUCGAAGUUUGCUACUUCGCAGAACACUACAACCGGUACUCAGCCGGAUCUGGUCAUUGACGGCUGGACAUAGGUUCAGGUCGUGACAAUCGAUAUCACUCCACCACUACAUCUAACAUCUACAGUUUGACUACGUUAACUGGCCAUUAACUUUGAUAUUUUUUGUUUAUUUCUUGUAAUAGUCAUAUCAUAUUGUAAAUAGUUUGUUUAAUGUUGUAAAUAAAUUGAUUUAUUCUU
This is a long non-coding RNA of Dreissena polymorpha, 626 nucleotides long. RefSeq lists it as uncharacterized. The transcript is spliced from 2 exons. Lineage: Eukaryota; Metazoa; Mollusca; Bivalvia; Myida; Dreissenidae. The record is from RefSeq and is a predicted model, not a curated record.